AUGUUGGAGGAAAUGUAUGCUCUAGACAAGAAUAAUACAUGGCAAUUGGUAGAAUGGCCGAAGGGCAAGGAACCAGUCGGAUGCAAAUGGGUUUAUACCAUUAAGUGUAACCCUGAAGGUAAAAUAGAAAGGUAUAAAGCUCGGUUGGUGGCCAAAGGCUACACACAGACUCGUGGUGUUGAUUAUGAGGAAACAUUUGCCCCUGUAGCAAAAAUGAAUACAGUAAGAACUUUGAUAUCUUGUGCAGCUAAUCUUGGAUGGAAUUUGUUUCAGAUGGAUGUAAAAAAUGCAUUCUUACAUGGAGACCUUCAGGAGGAAAUUUAUAUGCAUAUACCACCAGGUUUCAACACGGUACAAACUGAAGGAAAGGUCUUGAAACUCCGCCGUUCACUGAGAUGA
This 399-nucleotide ribosomal RNA is filed under the name Triticum aestivum (bread wheat). Its description in RNAcentral is "partial small subunit ribosomal RNA". The record is from RNAcentral. Lineage: Eukaryota; Viridiplantae; Streptophyta; Magnoliopsida; Poales; Poaceae.